Long non-coding RNA from Girardinichthys multiradiatus, 1380 nucleotides. RefSeq lists it as uncharacterized. The record is from RefSeq and is a predicted model, not a curated record. The transcript has 5 exons. Lineage: Eukaryota; Metazoa; Chordata; Actinopteri; Cyprinodontiformes; Goodeidae.
GUAGAGCUGUGAAGCCGAACAAAUGGAGCCUUAAGGGAGCAGCUAAAAGAACAGAAAGAAGAAGGGGAGGCUGGAGGUUCUCCAUCAACAUUUGGAACAGAGAAAUGAAGCCUCUACCAGUCCAGUCUCCUGCUCACAGGAUGGAGAUCGAUGAAUGCCAGCACUUAGAGCGAAGACACACAGUGUAUUGUGAAGGAACUGUCAAGCCACUGACAACAAAACCAGGGGAUUGAAAAUCCAGUCCUGGAAGGCCGGCGUCCUGCAACUCAUAAAUGUGUCCCUGGUCCAACACACCUGAAUGACUGAAUCGCCUCCUCAGCAUGUAAUCCUGUUCUACAGAGUUCUAUUAAAGACCUCAUUAGCAGGUAGACAUCUACUGCAGAAAAACGCCCAGAUAAGAAGGUUUCUGAUGGAGGGACUGGACCUAAUUGGUGGGAAGCUGCCCAGAAGCUCCUGACCUGAAGCUGUAUCAAGGCUGAACGAGUGUUGGUGUUCACAGAGAAUCAGAGGAGAAAGCAGUAUCCUGGCAGGACGCUGGGGACUCAGUUCCCAGCAGCCUUUGCAACUCUCCUGCUCAGUUUCUCCCUGAUGGGUCAAUGUUGCUGUCCUCUGGGGAAUUUCCACUUUUUCUCAUGGCUAUGCCCAGCUAGCUUUGACCCUCCCCCUGCCAAAUGACCCAGAGUUCGGCUACUUGCUUGCCUUAUCUGUCCUUUCCCAGGGCUGUGGUACUCUCUAUGUCACCCGUCUCUGUCUGUCACCAUCUCUGUAGUUGAUAUAUAGUAUAUUAAUCACAUCAUCUAAAGAGCAGACUUUAGGGGAAAUACAUAAUGCUAUAUGUGGAACAGCAUUGAAGUCAGACCUCCAAAUAUGAAAAUACAUGUAUUCAGACUUAAUAGUAAGAACAUGUAAAUCUGAGGUUAAUAUAGGUAUUUUGUUCAGAAUGAAGACGAGAACCAAGUUUAAACCAUGAAUAGCCUUCUCCUGUACUGAUUAAAGACAGGCAAGGCAAAUGUGUGGUUGGCAAUGUUUUAACAUGUAAUGUGUGACAUGUUAACAUGUGUUAGCAACAUGUUUGCAGUUUCAAGCUUACUAAACGUCAUCAGGAGUAUCAAUGUCAUGGAAAAUGAUGGCUUUUCUGAUCCACUACAAUUUUAGCCGAAAAUGUUGACAACAUAAAAAAUCUAUUUAAAUAUAAGAACCUGUAGACUCCACGAUCAGCAUUUUAAACAAUGAUAGGUUAAGGUUCAAGGCCUGGAUGAAGAAACUGUCACCCUUAAAUGACAGGAAACUGGUUGUGUUGCUCAGAAUCGACCCAGGAGUAACCACAGCUCAAGCCUGCAAGAAACAGGAAACUGCUGAAACACCAUCGUCCACAGUGGA